RNAcentral lists this ribosomal RNA (497 nucleotides) under uncultured bacterium. RNAcentral describes it as "partial 16S ribosomal RNA". It matches the Rfam family "Bacterial small subunit ribosomal RNA", at positions 28 to 507 of the family's 1533-position model. The record is from RNAcentral.
GAUGAACGCUGGCGGCGUGCCUAAUACAUGCAAGUCGAGCGAACAGAUGAGGAGCUUGCUCCUCUGACGUUAGCGGCGGACGGGUGAGUAACACGUGGAUAACCUACCUAUAAGACUGGGAUAACUUCGGGAAACCGGAGCUAAUACCGGAUAAUAUAUUGAACCGCAUGGUUCAAUAGUGAAAGACGGUUUUGCUGUCACUUAUAGAUGGAUCCGCGCCGCAUUAGCUAGUUGGUAAGGUAACGGCUUACCAAGGCAACGAUGCGUAGCCGACCUGAGAGGGUGUCCGCCCCCCCUGGACUGGAGCCCCGGCCCAGACCCCUCGGGGGGGCGGCAGGGGGGAUUCUCCCGCAAGGGGCGAAGCCCUGCGGGAGCAACCCCGGGGGAUGGAUGAGGGUCUUCGGAUCUAAAACCUCUUUUAUGGGGAAAAAACAAAUGGGUAAGUAACUUGGCACGUCUUGACGUUCCCUAAUAAAAAACCCCCGGCUACCUCCGCC